This 253-nucleotide ribosomal RNA is filed under the name uncultured bacterium. RNAcentral's name for it is "partial 16S ribosomal RNA". It matches the Rfam family "Bacterial small subunit ribosomal RNA", at positions 524 to 776 of the family's 1533-position model. The record is from RNAcentral.
UACGGAGGAUGCAAGCGUUAUCCGGAAUGAUUGGGCGUAAAGCGUCCGCAGGUGGCAAUGUAAGUCUGCUGUUAAAGAGUCUAGCUCAACUAGAUAAAAGCAGUGGAAACUACAUAGCUAGAGUACGUUCGGAGCAGAGGGAAUUCCUGGUGUAGCGGUGAAAUGCGUAGAGAUCAGGAAGAACACCGGUGGCGAAGGCGCUCUGCUAGGCCGUAACUGACACUGAGGGACGAAAGCUAGGGGAGCGAACAGG